CAGGGGGCAGCUGACAGGGGUCAAAUAUGACACACAGGAUGCUGUGAGAUUGAGAUAUUCUUCAUGUUGUCAUGUAUGUUACAGAGAAGACACGCACCGCCACGGGGGGCACACUGCACCAUCGGGGCUGGACUGGGAAUUAAAACCAGCCCUGGAUUUGUCAUCGUGUGAUCUCCCUGAGCCGGACUCCGCGCCUCCACCACCUUUGGAGACAGAACUCUUAUCGCUCCUGAUCGCUUGCGUUGCUGGGUUGCUUCCGGGAGGAACAGGUUUACCUGGAUGGGAUUUUAUGCAUCCUGCGGCACGGGCGCACCAUUCAUUUCCACCUUUUGGCUGAUCUUGGAAAGGUGUCAUAUGAAUAUGUAGAAGGUCUCAGGAAGUUUGCCGCCUUGGAGAACGUUCGGACUGCGCCAACUACAAAACAGUUUGUACUCCUUGAUGGAAUAGGCAUCGGGGCACCCAAUGAAAACUCGGACGGACACCAAAGAAUCCUUCCUCUGCUGACAGCGUUGUCUCGCACCACAAUAGUUACAAUUAGCUGUUAGUUAGCUUUGUGGCCCCAACUUCAUUUCUAGGGGCUCGUGGCCGGCA
Molecule: long non-coding RNA, 591 nt
Organism: Spea bombifrons (plains spadefoot toad)
Lineage: Eukaryota; Metazoa; Chordata; Amphibia; Anura; Pelobatidae
Exons: 4
Source: RefSeq, a predicted model, not a curated record